UGGGACUGCCGCCACAGCCGC
Molecule: unclassified non-coding RNA, 21 nt
Filed under: Mus musculus (house mouse)
Lineage: Eukaryota; Metazoa; Chordata; Mammalia; Rodentia; Muridae
Description: oocyte_clustered_small_RNA2904
Source: RNAcentral